Molecule: ribosomal RNA, 247 nt
Filed under: uncultured bacterium
Lineage: Bacteria
Also listed under: 1 other name
Description: partial 16S ribosomal RNA
Rfam family: Bacterial small subunit ribosomal RNA
Source: RNAcentral
CACGCCGUAAACGAUGAGUGCUAAGUGUUGGAGGGUUUCCGCCCUUCAGUGCUGCAGCUAACGCAUUAAGCACUCCGCCUGGGGAGUACGACCGCAAGGUUGAAACUCAAAGGAAUUGACGGGGGCCCGCACAAGCGGUGGAGCAUGUGGUUUAAUUCGAAGCAACGCGAAGAACCUUACCAGGUCUUGACAUCCUUUGACCACUCUAGAGAUAGAGCUUCCCCUUCGGGGGCAAAGUGACAGGUGG